Molecule: ribosomal RNA, 471 nt
Filed under: Barteria fistulosa
Lineage: Eukaryota; Viridiplantae; Streptophyta; Magnoliopsida; Malpighiales; Passifloraceae
Description: eukaryotic LSU rRNA
Rfam family: 5.8S ribosomal RNA (bases 157-312)
Source: RNAcentral
CGGCGGGCCUGUUCCGUCGCCCCGUUCCCCUUCCCCCACGAACAAAACCCCGGCGCACGAUGCGCCAAGGAAUCGCAACGAGAAAAGGAACGAGCACCCGUUGCGCGCCGGGAACGGAAUGCGCACGGGCGGCCUCGUAUUCUUUGAAAACAAAACGACUCUCGGCAACGGAUAUCUCGGCUCUCGCAUCGAUGAAGAACGUAGCGAAAUGCGAUACUUGGUGUGAAUUGCAGAAUCCCGUGAACCAUCGAGUCUUUGAACGCAAGUUGCGCCCGAAGCCUUCGGGCCGAGGGCACGUCUGCCUGGGUGUCAUGCACCGUCGCCCCCCAUCCCCACUCCCCCRAGGGGAGUCGGGAAGCCCGGGGCGGACAAUGGCCUCCCGUGCGCUCUCGCUCGCGGUUGGCCUAAAUCCGAGUUGUUGGCGGCGAGCGCCACGGCAAGCGGUGGUUGGAAAGACCCUCUGAAGUGCCG